AACGAACGCUGGCGGCAUGCCUAACACAUGCAAGUCGAACGAGACCUUCGGGUCUAGUGGCGCACGGGUGCGUAACGCGUGGGAACCUGCCCUUAGGUUCGGAAUAACUCCCCGAAAGGGGUGCUAAUACCGGAUAAUGUCUUCGGACCAAAGAUUUAUCGCCUUUGGAUGGGCCCGCGUUGGAUUAGCUAGUUGGUAGGGUAAAAGCCUACCAAGGCGACGAUCCAUAGCUGGUCUGAGAGGAUGAUCAGCCACACUGGGACUGAGACACGGCCCAGACGCCGACGAGAGGCAGCAGUGGGGAAGAUUGGACAGGGGGCGAAAGCGUGAUCCAGAAAUGCCGCGGGAGAGAAGAAGGCCUUAGGGUUGUAAAGCUCUGUUAACCGGGAUGAUAAGGACAGUACCGGGAGAAUAAAAGCCGGCUAACUCAGUG
RNAcentral lists this ribosomal RNA (433 nucleotides) under uncultured bacterium. RNAcentral describes it as "partial 16S ribosomal RNA". It matches the Rfam family "Bacterial small subunit ribosomal RNA", at positions 29 to 507 of the family's 1533-position model. The record is from RNAcentral.